This 254-nucleotide ribosomal RNA is filed under the name uncultured bacterium. Its description in RNAcentral is "partial 16S ribosomal RNA". It matches the Rfam family "Bacterial small subunit ribosomal RNA", at positions 524 to 776 of the family's 1533-position model. The record is from RNAcentral.
UACGAAGGGUGCGAGCGUUGUUCGGAAUUAUUGGGCGUAAAGCGCACGUAGGCGGCCUUGUAAGUCUCACUGUGAAAGUCCGGGGCUCAACCCCGGGAUGCCAGGGGAUACUGCGAGGCUGGAGACAAGCAGAGGUUGGUAGAAUUCCGGGUGUAGCGGUGGAAUGCGUAGAGAUCCGGAGGAAUACCAGAGGCGAAGGCGGCCAACUGGGCUUGUUCUGACGCUGAGACGCGAAAGCGUGGGGAGCGAACAGG